This 1173-nucleotide long non-coding RNA is filed under the name Nothobranchius furzeri (turquoise killifish). RNAcentral's name for it is "lncRNA (ENSNFUG00015010103.1)". Lineage: Eukaryota; Metazoa; Chordata; Actinopteri; Cyprinodontiformes; Nothobranchiidae. The record is from RNAcentral.
AUGGUGGGGGAGGAUGCCGGUCAGACCAGGCAGGCCCAAACGUAUCGCGAGGGUCUACUGGGAACGUCUGGCAGAGUCUCCUGUCAGAAGGAGCUUCAAUUCCCACCCCCGACAGAACUUCUAAAAUGUUCCGGGGAGGCAGGGGACAUUGAGUCUGAAUGGACCCUGUUCCGUGUCUCCAUUGUUGAGGCGGCCGACCGGAGCUGUGGUUGCAGAAUCAUCUGUGCCUGUCGUGGUGGCAAACCCCGAACCCGCUGGUGGACACCGGCGGUUAGGGAUGCUGUCAAGCUGAAGAAAGAGUUCUAUCAGGUCUUUUUGGCCUGUGGGACUCCAGAGGCAGCUGACGGGUACCGGCAGUCCAAGCGGAAUGUGGCUCGACUGGUCGCCAAGGCAAAAACCCGGGCAUGGGACGAGUUCGGUGAGACCAUGGAGCAAGACUUCCGCAUGGCUUCAGGGAGAUUCUGGCCCACCAUCCGGCACCUUGGAGGGGGAAAUCAGUGGGCUACCAACACUAUCUAUAAUGGGGACGGUGUGCUGCUGACCUCUACUCAGGACGUUGUGGAUCGGUGGGCAGAAUACUUCGAAGACCUCCUCAAUCCCACCAACAUGUCUUCCAGUGAGGAAGCAGAGUCUGGCGACUUUGGGUUGGCCUCUCAAAUCUCUGGUGCUGAGGUCACUGAGGUGGUUAAAAAGCUCCUUUGUGGCAAGGCUCCGGGGGUGGAUGAGAUCCGCCCAGAGUUCCUUAAGGCUCUGGAUGUUGUGGGACUGUGUUGGCUGACGCGGCUCUGCAAUAUCGCGUGGACAUCGGGGGCAGUCCCACUGGAUUGGCAGACCGGGGUGGUGGUCCCCUUAUUUAAAAAGGGGGACCGCAGGGUGUGUUCCAACUGCAGGGGGAUCUCACUCCUGAGCCUUCCUGGUAAGGUCUAUUCAGGGGUUCUGGAGAGGAGGGUCCGUCGGAUUGUUGAACCUCAGAUUCAGGAGGAGCAAUGUGGUUUUCGUCCUAGCCAUAGAACACUGGACCAGCUCUGUACCCUUAGGGGGAUCCUGGAGGGUGCGUGGGAAUUUGCCCAACCAGUCUACAUGUGUUUUUUGGAUUUGCAGAAGCCAUUUGACCGUGUCCCUCGGGGGGCCCUGUGGGGGUACUUCGGAAGUAUAGGGUACCAGGCCCUCUGA